Molecule: transfer RNA, 69 nt
Filed under: Anolis humilis (humble anole)
Lineage: Eukaryota; Metazoa; Chordata; Lepidosauria; Squamata; Anolidae
Description: tRNA-Tyr
Rfam family: tRNA
About the family: Transfer RNA (tRNA) molecules are approximately 80 nucleotides in length. Their secondary structure includes four short double-helical elements and three loops (D, anti-codon, and T loops).
Source: RNAcentral
GGUAAAGUGGCCGAGUGUUAGGCGGCAGGCUGUAGUCCUGCACACAUUGGUUUAACUCCUUUCUUUAUC